Molecule: small RNA, 2138 nt
Filed under: Rattus norvegicus (Norway rat)
Lineage: Eukaryota; Metazoa; Chordata; Mammalia; Rodentia; Muridae
Description: uncharacterized LOC102553115
Source: RNAcentral
CCUGAUUUCUUUCUUCAGUCACACGUUUUCAUUAGGGGGGAGAGACACCCCUCAGGGUGAGGAUGAAAGCAGCUGAAAGGUUCCCAUUGGUCAUGCUCCAUUAAUGGUGACUGACGCCCAGCUGACCACGCCAUCAGUGCUUCCGUAAAGCUCGGGAGUUCCGUAGCGGGAGCCCUUCCUGUUUAUGGUUAGACUCAGGCCCUCCUUUGGUGCUAAUGAUGUGCCAGUCAGUACCCACAGAUGCAUGUUCCAGAACCUUCAUCAACUGCUCUGUCUCAGAAAAGGCAGGAUAGAUGGACAGAAUCUUUACAAGAACACCAUCUGACUGUGCGCACAGCUCGGUAGGAUCCUUAAAGAGGUUCUAGGCCCUUGAGAAGAAAGCAGAUUACUGGGAGCAGGUCCCUCCAAAGCUGCCUCUCUGCUGUUUGUCGGCCCUGGGAUGAAGAAGCUCAUCUGCCCCAACUGCCCUCCCUGGUGUUCUUUCCGUUCCAGUGCAUGGGGUCAUGCAGGGUUCCACUACCCUCUUCAGAACACAUUGAGAUUCUGCAAGAGCCCAUAUCUUAAUGAGAGCACCAUCCCUCAACACCAGUGUGGCCCGGAGCCCAGACCUCUGAGUGAACCGUACAGCAAUGCUUACACUCUUCUUUUUUCUUUUUUUUCUUUUUUUUUUUUUUAACUAGAAUGCCAAAGCACCUUUCCUGAGAUGCGUCCCUUUGUUUCAUUAGGGAGUGGCCAGUGUUUCUGACAACGUUUCCCAAAUGGUUAGCCACUAACGGGACAAAGAACCCUAGAAAGCCGUUCAGUGAGCCUGUCUCUUAUCAGUCACAGAUAUUUGAUCUAGGUAAUGGUAUCUCUGUGUUACUUUGUCAAAUAAAGCUAUGCACCCUUUUAGCCAUAGUCCUCACACUAUUUGUCUAUGGGCCCUUUGAUGUCUUAAUUAUAUCUGAUUUGUCUGGCCGUAGUGCAUCGGCUGGCAUCCAGGGUCUUGCCUCCCGGUUCUAAAAGUACCCAGAGCUUUGCAAACACCAAGAAAAGGGUCCCAGGAAAAGCCCAUCCACAGAUAGCUCCCCAGGGCAUCAUCAGGACAAAGAAACCUGAUCUUCCUCUGUGCUGACCACCCCCCACCUCUUUGCCUUGAAAGCCUAACUCCUUCUUACUUUAAUUAAGUUUCUGACAUUCUGGUGAAGGCUUUGAGCUCAAGCAGUCUUGCAGAAAAAAAAAAAAAAAAAAAAAAAAAAAAAAAAACCCAGAACCCUACAGUGACAGCAGUAAGCCCCAAACCAUGGUCAUGCACAGAAUCCCCCACCUUCUUCCCUGACUGUGUGAUCAUAGACUAUUUAAAUGUCAGCGAUCUUAAAUCUUAAAUUCCAGAAUCAGAGACCCAAACCUUUACCUAAGUAAAGACCUAUCUGUCCCCAUGCCCACCCUAGCCCGCCCCCAUCUCUCAAUCCCCUUUUGUUGUUUUUCUUUUGGUUUGGUUUUAGAACAUGUAUGUUUGUGUGUGUGUUAGAAAUGGAAACUAGAGUUUCAUGUAUGUUAAAUACACACGCUCUUCCACAGAGCUUUUGCAAUCCCAGGCUCGAUACCACAGAAUGGAUGUGGAAAUUAGAGGACAUAUUGGAAAAGUCAGUCUCCCUCCACCACGUAGGUUCCAGGGAUAGAACUUGAGCUGUCAGGCUUAGCAGCAGUUCUCACCCAUCCCCACUGAGCCAUCACAUUAGCCCAACCUCAGCCUGACUUAGCUUUGCUUAUCUAUAUCAGCCCAGAACCAGUCUUCCGGCUGGGAAUGGAGCUCCCUGGUGAAAAGCUUACUUGCCUAACAUGUACAAGACCAUGGAGUAGAACCCCAACAUCGCAAGAGAAACAGCAAAUGGGUCAUCCAUUAGCUUCUCAAACUGAUGCGGCUGCUCUGGUUUUUUAAACAUGAUCUUCUAAGGUCUCUAUGACAUCUCUGGGACAGCCUCAGGAAUAACCACUCAGUACGUGGGGUCCUGAACCCCACGACACGAAUGGCUUCUGAAACUGGACCACUCUAUACCUUAUCCCUACACAGAACAAGAAAGAACUUGAACUUAAGGGAAGAAACCGCUCUUUAAGACAUAAGGAUUUUCACUGAUGGAUUAGGGGUGUGCUCACCU